CCUAGCGAAGCCCUGUAUAAAAGCCCCACUUUCUCCAUUUCUGCAGACUCAGUCUCCGUGCCUCUCAAUCUUAGAUUUUCCGUCUCUUACCCUUGAAAGGUCUGUGAUUUUAGAUCUGUAGGAUACUGUAAUCGAUCAGCAAUGGCGGAGACAGAGACGUUUGCUUUCCAGGCCGAGAUCAAUCAGUUGCUCAGUUUGAUCAUCAACACCUUCUACAGCAACAAGGAGAUCUUUCUCCGUGAGCUUAUCAGUAAUGCCUCCGAUGCUCUGGAUAAAAUCAGAUUUGAGAGCUUGACAGACAAAAGCAAGCUUGAUGCUCAACCUGAGCUCUUCAUCCAUAUUGUCCCUGACAAAAGUAACAAUACAUUGUCCAUCAUUGACAGUGGUAUUGGCAUGACAAAGGCUGAUUUGGUAAACAAUCUUGGUACCAUCGCCAGGUCUGGUACCAAAGAAUUUAUGGAGGCCUUGGCUGCUGGAGCAGAUGUUAGUAUGAUUGGGCAGUUUGGUGUUGGUUUCUACUCAGCAUACUUGGUUGCUGAGAAGGUCAUUGUUACCACCAAGCACAAUGAUGAUGAACAGUAUGUCUGGGAGUCCCAGGCUGGAGGGUCAUUCACUGUCACCAGAGAUACUUCUGGCGAGAACCUUGGUAGAGGUACAAAAAUUACUCUAUUCCUCAAGGAAGACCAACUUGAGUACCUUGAGGAGGGCCGCCUUAAGGACCUGAUCAAGAAGCACUCUGAGUUUAUUAGCUAUCCAAUCUCUCUCUGGAUUGAGAAGACUACUGAGAAGGAGAUAUCUGAUGAUGAGGAUGAGGAGGAGAAGAAAGAUGAGGAAGGGAAGGUUGAGGAUGUUGACGAGGAGAAAGAGAAGGAAGAAAAGAAGAAGAAGAAGAUCAAGGAGGUGUCCCAUGAGUGGUCAUUGGUGAACAAGCAGAAACCAAUCUGGAUGAGGAAGCCAGAGGAAAUCUCAAAGGAAGAGUAUGCUGCUUUCUACAAGAGCCUUACCAAUGAUUGGGAGGAGCAUUUGGCUGUAAAACACUUCUCAGUGGAGGGCCAACUUGAGUUCAAGGCCAUCCUUUUUGCUCCCAAGAGGGCUCCUUUUGAUCUGUUUGACACAAGGAAGAAGCCUAACAACAUCAAGCUCUAUGUGCGGCGUGUUUUCAUCAUGGACAACUGUGAGGAGUUGAUUCCCGAGUAUCUUGGAUUUGUGAAGGGUAUUGUUGAUUCUGAGGACCUUCCCCUCAACAUCUCAAGAGAGAUGUUGCAACAGAACAAGAUCCUCAAAGUUAUCCGCAAGAACUUGGUGAAGAAGUGCAUUGAGCUCUUCUUUGAGAUUGCUGAGAACAAGGAAGAUUACAACAAAUUCUACGAGGCAUUCUCUAAGAACCUCAAGCUUGGCAUCCAUGAAGACUCCCAAAACAAGUCAAAGCUUGCUGAAUUGCUUCGGUACCACUCCACCAAGAGUGGUGAUGAGUUGACUAGUCUCAAGGACUAUGUGACCAGAAUGAAGGAGGGCCAAAACGAUAUUUACUACAUCACUGGUGAAAGCAAGAAGGCAGUUGAAAAUUCUCCAUUCCUUGAGAAGUUGAAGAAGAAGGGUUAUGAAGUCCUCUUCAUGGUUGAUGCCAUAGAUGAGUAUGCUGUUGGUCAGCUCAAGGAGUUUGAGGGCAAGAAGCUUGUUUCUGCCACCAAGGAAGGUUUGAAAAUUGAUGAAAGUGAAGAUGAGAAGCAAAAGAAGGAAGAACUGAAGCAGAAGUUUGAGGGUCUCUGCAAGGUAAUCAAGGAUGUGCUGGGAGACAAGGUAGAAAAGGUUGUGGUCUCAGACCGUGUUGUUGAUUCUCCCUGCUGUUUGGUCACUGGUGAAUAUGGGUGGACUGCCAACAUGGAAAGAAUUAUGAGAGCACAAGCCUUGAGGGACAACAGCAUGGCUGGGUACAUGUCAAGCAAGAAGACCAUGGAGAUCAAUCCUGAAAAUCCUAUCAUGGAUGAACUGAGGAAGAGAGCAGAUGCUGACAAGAAUGACAAGUCAGUCAAGGAUCUUGUGCUGCUGCUAUUCGAGACUGCCCUUCUCACAUCUGGUUUCAGCCUUGAUGACCCCAAUACCUUCGGCAACAGAAUCCAUAGGAUGUUGAAGCUGGGAUUGAGCAUCGACGAGGAUGCUGGUGAGGGAGAUGCUGACAUGCCAGCCCUGGAGGAAGCUGAUGCUGAUGCUGAUGCUGAGGGUUCCAAGAUGGAGGAAGUUGAUUAAGAGUUUAGCCUUACUUCGAUCAACUUUUUAAUUUAUAUGAUUAUGUUUUGGUACUGAUUCUGAUAGUGUUUUGGAACUUAUUUAGAUGGUUUGGACUUUUUUUUUAUUUGAAAUAUUAUCUCUUGUUAUGCAGUAAGGUCAGCGAAUUUCUACUGCUUGUCAGUCAAGUCUAGUCUUUUUUUAUUGUUUUAUUUUUUGCAAUUGCAAUUGAUUUGCAUUAAAAGGGCUAAAUUCCCAGCAACCUUUACAAGGGGUGUGGGCUGUAGCUAAAAAAAAAAAACAAAGUCGGGCCUUUAGAAUAAACAAUUUAAAGUAAGCGUAACAGAGGUACAAAUGUGAGAAUACUAGCCACGCCACUGGCUUCUGGUUUUGUAUUUGACAUUACGAAACAGCUUAAAGCAAAUAUUGCUUUGAUCCCCAAAGUUUGAGUAAUCAGAAAUAGAGAAGUUGGGAGAUGAUGGCGGCAAGAACUCGAAGACGGACAGAUGAUUUCAUAUUGAAACUCUACAUCUCCAGGUAUCUCGACAUCUCUAGAGCUUGACCUUAAUCGUGAAAAUUGACAGAUGAAUGUGUGAUGUAUUUUUAAUUAAUUUUAAAAUAUAAAUAAUGUAAAAGAAUAUAAUUAUUGAAAAAUAUGUGAUUCAUCUUAAAUUUUUAUUGAAUUGUGAUUAUAUGAAAUAGUUUUAUUAUUUAGUGUAUGGAUGAAUU
This 2955-nucleotide unclassified non-coding RNA is filed under the name Hevea brasiliensis (rubber tree). Lineage: Eukaryota; Viridiplantae; Streptophyta; Magnoliopsida; Malpighiales; Euphorbiaceae. The record is from RNAcentral.